UACGAAGGGUGCAAGCGUUGUUCGGAUUUAUUGGGCGUAAAGCGCGCGCAGGCGGACUUGUAAGUCAGGUGUGAAAUCUCGGGGCCUAACCCCGAAAGUGCGCCUGAAACUGUAGGUCUAGAAUAUCGGAGAGGUAAGGGGAAUUUCUCAUGUAGGGGUAAAAUCCGUAGAGAUGAGAAGGAACACCGGAGGCGAAGGCGCCUUACUGGACGAUUAUUGACGCUGAGGCGCGAAAGCGUGGGGAGCAAACAGG
RNAcentral lists this ribosomal RNA (253 nucleotides) under bacterium. RNAcentral describes it as "partial 16S ribosomal RNA". It matches the Rfam family "Bacterial small subunit ribosomal RNA", at positions 524 to 776 of the family's 1533-position model. RNAcentral also lists the same sequence under 1 other name. The record is from RNAcentral.